UACGAAGGGGGCUAGCGUUGCUCGGAAUGACUGGGCGUAAAGGGCGCGUAGGCGGUUCGUACAGUCAGACGUGAAAUUCCCGGGCUCAACCUGGGGGCUGCGUUUGAUACGUGCGGGCUUGAGUUCGGAAGAGGGUCGUGGAAUUCCCAGUGUAGAGGUGAAAUUCGUAGAUAUUCGCAAGAACACCAGUGGCGAAGGCGGCUCACUGGCCCGAUACUGACGCUGAGGCACGAAAGCGUGGGGAGCAAACAGG
This 253-nucleotide ribosomal RNA is filed under the name uncultured bacterium. Its description in RNAcentral is "partial 16S ribosomal RNA". It matches the Rfam family "Bacterial small subunit ribosomal RNA", at positions 524 to 776 of the family's 1533-position model. The record is from RNAcentral.